GAUGAACGCUGGCGGUAUGCAUAACACAUGCAAGUCGAACGGUCUGGAAACAGACAGUGGCGGACGGGUGAGUAACGCGUGAGAAUCUAACUUGUGGUUCGGGAUAACCACUGGAAACGGUGGCUAAGACCGGAUGUGCCGGGAGGUGAAAGGGAGACCGCCACAAGAGGAGCUCGCGUCCGAUUAGCUAGAUGGUGGGGUAAAGGCCUACCAUGGCGACGAUCGGUAGCUGGUCUGAGAGGACGAACAGCCACACUGGGACUGAGACACGGCCCAG
RNAcentral lists this ribosomal RNA (277 nucleotides) under uncultured bacterium. Its description in RNAcentral is "partial 16S ribosomal RNA". It matches the Rfam family "Bacterial small subunit ribosomal RNA", at positions 28 to 334 of the family's 1533-position model. The record is from RNAcentral.